RNAcentral lists this ribosomal RNA (763 nucleotides) under uncultured bacterium. Its description in RNAcentral is "bacterial SSU rRNA". It matches the Rfam family "Bacterial small subunit ribosomal RNA", at positions 28 to 776 of the family's 1533-position model. The record is from RNAcentral.
GAUGAACGCUAGCUACAGUGCUUAACACAUGCAAGUCGAGGGGCAGCAUUUCAGUUUGCUUGCAAACUGGAGAUGGCGACCGGCGCACGGGUGAGUAACACGUAUCCAACCUGCCGAUAACUCGGGGAUAGCCUUUCGAAAGAAAGAUUAAUACCCGAUGGUAUCUUAAGCACGCAUGAGAUUAAGAUUAAAGAUUUAUCGGUAAGCGAUGGGGAUGCGUUCCAUUAGGCAGUUGGCGGGGUAACGGCCCACCAAACCUACGAUGGAUAGGGGUUCUGAGAGGAAGGUCCCCCACAUUGGAACUGAGACACGGUCCAAACUCCUACGGGAGGCAGCAGUGAGGAAUAUUGGUCAAUGGGCGAGAGCCUGAACCAGCCAAGUAGCGUGAAGGAUGACGGCCCUACGGGUUGUAAACUUCUUUUGUGCGGGAAUAAAGGAGCCUACGUGUAGGCUUUUGCAUGUACCGUAACGAAUAAGCAUCGGCUAACUCCGUGCCAGCAGCCGCGGUAAUACGGAGGAUGCGAGCGUUGUCCGGAUUUAUUGGGUUUAAAGGGAGCGUAGACGGGUUUUUAAGUCAGCUGUGAAAGUUUGGGGCUCAACCUUAAAAUUGCAGUUGAAACUGGAGACCUUGAGUACGGUUGAGGCAGGCGGAAUUCGUGGUGUAGCGGUGAAAUGCUUAGAUAUCACGAAGAACCCCGAUUGCGAAGGCAGCCUGCUAAGCCGCCACUGACGUUGAGGCUCGAAAGUGUGGGUAUCANACAGG